CUCCUUUGACGUUAGCGGCGGACGGGUGAGUAACACGUGGGUAACCUACCUAUAAGACUGGGAUAACUUCGGGAAACCGGAGCUAAUACCGGAUAAUAUUUCGAACCGCAUGGUUCGAUAGUGAAAGGUGGUUUUGCUAUCACUUAUAGAUGGACCCGCGCCGUAUUAGCUAGUUGGUAAGGUAACGGCUUACCAAGGCGACGACUACGUAGCCGACCUGAGUAGGGUGAUCGGCCACACUGGAACUGAGACACGGUCCAGACUCCUACGGGAGGCAGCAGCC
RNAcentral lists this ribosomal RNA (283 nucleotides) under uncultured Staphylococcus sp. Its description in RNAcentral is "partial 16S ribosomal RNA". It matches the Rfam family "Bacterial small subunit ribosomal RNA", at positions 81 to 355 of the family's 1533-position model. The record is from RNAcentral. Lineage: Bacteria; Bacillati; Bacillota; Bacilli; Caryophanales; Staphylococcaceae.